GAUGAACGCUGGCGGCGUGCCUAAUACAUGCAAGUCGAGCGAACAGACGAGGAGCUUGCUCCUUUGACGUUAGCGGCGGACGGGUGAGUAACACGUGGGUAACCUACCUAUAAGACUGGGAUAACUUCGGGAAACCGGAGCUAAUACCGGAUAAUAUUUCGAACCGCAUGGUUCGAUAGUGAAAGAUGGCUUUGCUAUCACUUAUAGAUGGACCUGCGCCGUAUUAGCUAGUUGGUAAGGUAACGGCUUACCAAGGCAACGAUACGUAGCCGACCUGAGAGGGUGAUCGGCCACACUGGAACUGAGACACGGUCCAGACUCCUACGGGAGGCAGCAGUAGGGAAUCUUCCGCAAUGGGCGAAAGCCUGACGGAGCAACGCCGCGUGAGUGAUGAAGGUCUUCGGAUCGUAAAACUCUGUUAUUAGGGAAGAACAAACGUGUAAGGAACUGUGCACGUCUUGACGGUACCUAAUCAGAAAGCCACGGCUAACUACGUG
Molecule: ribosomal RNA, 497 nt
Filed under: uncultured bacterium
Lineage: Bacteria
Description: partial 16S ribosomal RNA
Rfam family: Bacterial small subunit ribosomal RNA
Source: RNAcentral